AGAAGACUGGCUUCUCCAUGAUGGUUUAUGGACUAAGGCAAAGAUGAGCAGAGCCAUGGCCCUCUUCUUUGUUCUCUGCUGGAUCCAAGAGUCGGGGGUCUCCCUAUGUUUCCCAGGCUGGCCUCGAACUCCUGACCUCAAGUGAUCCUCCCACCUCAGCCUCCCCGAGUGCUGGGAUUAAAGACGUGAGCCACGGCACCUGGCCUGAAUUUUCCUCAAAUUCAAAAAAUCCUGAUGAAGGUUUGGCUAAAAUCUUUGAUGAAAUUGUGCUCCAAGUGUUUUCCAAGGUUCCGUAUGACCCAUCAUUUGAUGAAACAAGAACAGCAGUCAGAUCCAUUACAAAGAGAGACACACAAAAAAACUAUGUGAAAAUGAGCUUAGCCCCUGGUGUUGUGUUGGAACUUCAGAUGCUUGCAGACACUUCAUGAAUGCUCUGUGACACUCAGAAUAGGCUAUUCCCAACAGAAGAGCUUGAACAAUGCUGCAUUUGCAUCAGGUUCAAAUGAGCGAGAGGAACAUUUGGCUAAAAUAUUUGAUGAAAUUCUACUGCAGGUGUUUCCAAAGUUUCCGUAUGACCCAUCAUUUAACGAAGCAACAGCAGUCAGAUCCAUUACAAAGACAGACAUGAGAAAAGGAACCAGCAUUGCUUGGAAUUCUCCUAAACCAGAAUAUUUCCUUGGCAGUGUGGACAAAAUUCCUGAUAAAGAUCACCUUUCAGAGGAGAAGAAUUUUAAAGAAUCCUGUCUGUUCGACAGGGAUUUAAGAGAGCAGUUAACUACUAUAGAUAAAGAAACACUUCAAGGAGCAGCUAAACCAGAUGCUCACUUUAGGACUAUGCCCUGCGGGCAGCUUCUGCACUUCCUGCAGAGGAACACCAUCAUCGCCGCCGUCUCAGGGGUGGCCAUCCUCAUGGCCAUCGUGCUGUUGCUGCUUGGGUUGGCCUCAUACAUCAGGAAGAAACAGCCAUCAUCUCCUCUGGCAAACACGACAUAUAAUAUUUUUAUAAUGGAUGGAAAGACAUGGUGGCACAAUUCUGAAGAAAAAAAUUUCACAAAACUUGCAAAAAAACAGAAACAGUUGAAGAGCAGCUCCUGUGUCUAAGCCAGGUCGUGGGGCCGUCAAACCAGGACUUGAAACCACAAUGCGAGGACAUUCUCCAUCUGCGCACCACAGGGAGGCAAUUCCAUUUCUGCCCGGGAGGUGUAUUCUACAAAAACGUCUGCUUCCCAUCCCAAUUUGAAUGGACCAAGAAAAACUGCUUUACCAUAGGACACUUGUGGCAAUAUGGCACCGAUGGCUGGCGUCGGUGAACCCGACAGACUAUGGAUUUAUCAUUUAAUAAAGCAUUGAUUCAUU
This 1356-nucleotide unclassified non-coding RNA is filed under the name Homo sapiens (human). RNAcentral describes it as "chromosome 2 open reading frame 92 (ENSG00000291598.1)". Lineage: Eukaryota; Metazoa; Chordata; Mammalia; Primates; Hominidae. The record is from RNAcentral.